This 1285-nucleotide long non-coding RNA is filed under the name Homo sapiens (human). RNAcentral describes it as "HSALNT0120657". Lineage: Eukaryota; Metazoa; Chordata; Mammalia; Primates; Hominidae. The record is from RNAcentral.
CUUCUUUGGUGGUCCAGCCACACCAGCCCUUAUACUUCACAGCGUGAGUGGCUGCCAGAACCUUUCCUUGUAGUGCAAGAACAACCACACUGCUGGAAGUGAAAUUUGCAAUCUGCUCUAUCAGAUGAUUUCUGCGCAUGGGCUGUUACUAUGUUCAAAGCAUUAAACUGCCUGAAAGUGGAUUAUUUACAGAGCUUCUCUCUUCCCAGAGCUACGGAUAGGUGGCAAUUCAGCCUCUUCACCCUAAUGCACACUUUCUCACUUUCCACCGAGACUCUUUGUUUGCUGACAGCAUCUGGCUAUCCUGAGUACUUGCCUUAGCUGGCACAGUUCUCUCCAAUCCCUAGAAGAAACAGCCUUCACCUACACUCCAGGGAUGAAAUAACAUUUCAGCUCAAAGCUAGCAACCUUUCUCUGAAAUGGUGUCACACCCAGACAGAAAAAUAAAUGUGCUGUUUCUUCUUAGAUGAUGAGAAGUCAGGCUUUCAGGCAGACUUUUGACACAGGGAGGAUCAAGGUUUGACUGCCUUUGAGUAAUCCUUGCAGAAAAAACAGCACCUAAUUGGACAAAGGAAGAAAGGAACCAGCUGCUACUGUCAAGAUUAUUUAAACACCCAUCCACAGUCAAAAACACUGCAUUGUUUCAUUACAAGUGAAAUUUGAUUGCCACUACAUUUCCUGCUGGCCUCCCCUCUAUGCAAAUUGGGGAGAAGAAAGAAAUUCAUAAGGCACCAGAACCCAUUUGGCUUCUAAAUGUACUGUUUGCAUAUAGACAUCAGCAGCCUGAAUAAAUCCUAGCGAGGAAUGUCAAACUGACAACACUGGCUACUUUUCUAUUGUUCUCCCUGAAAACAUCGUUUUUAACACGUUCACAAAGCCACUAAAUCUGUGUUGCUGAGUCUGCUGUUUGCAUGCAGGAAUGUGAAGGACUGCUCAAGUUGGAGAUACAAAUUGAAGCCAGCCCCAGUUCAAAACUGUUACAAAUGGAGUCUGUAGGCAUGAGGGGCUGACUAUAUAACUCAGAGUUCUCCAGUACUUUACUUUAAUAAAGAACACAAUCUUUAUUAAAGGAUAAGUAAUAAAAAUGUGUUGAUGUGCAACUUAUGGAUCUAUUAUUAAAACUCAACAGUCAUUGCAGCAAUGUUUAGAACUUAAGCAAACAAAAGUUUUGUGAGGGGGCAAUUUUAUCAAUGACAUUGUUUAGAAAUGUUGGUAGAUGGUGAUCAUAAAAAGCAGAUCAAUGUUUUAUUUCACUUGGGUUUUUAAAAAUUAUUUUUAAAAAAUU